RNAcentral lists this ribosomal RNA (253 nucleotides) under uncultured bacterium. RNAcentral's name for it is "partial 16S ribosomal RNA". It matches the Rfam family "Bacterial small subunit ribosomal RNA", at positions 524 to 776 of the family's 1533-position model. The record is from RNAcentral.
UACGAAGGGGGCGAGCGUUGUUCGGAUUUACUGGGCGUAAAGGGCGCGCAGGCGGUUCUGUUUGUCGAGUGUGAAAGCCCCGGGCUCAACCUGGGAACUGCGCUCGAAACGGCGGAACUAGAGUUCGGGAGAGGAGAGUGGAAUUCCCAGUGUAGAGGUGAAAUUCGUAGAUAUUGGGAAGAACACCGGUGGCGAAGGCGGCAUCCUGGACCGAUACUGACGCUGAGGAGCGAAAGCAUGGGGAGCGAACAGG